Molecule: transfer RNA, 84 nt
Filed under: Melissococcus plutonius
Lineage: Bacteria; Bacillati; Bacillota; Bacilli; Lactobacillales; Enterococcaceae
Also listed under: 3 other names
Description: tRNA-Leu
Rfam family: tRNA
About the family: Transfer RNA (tRNA) molecules are approximately 80 nucleotides in length. Their secondary structure includes four short double-helical elements and three loops (D, anti-codon, and T loops).
Source: RNAcentral
GCGGUCAUGGCGGAAUUGGCAGACGCGCUAGCUUCAGGCGCUAGUGGUAGAAAUACCGUGGAAGUUCGAAUCUUCUUGGCCGCA